UACGUAGGGUGCAAGCGUUGUCCGGAAUUAUUGGGCGUAAAGAGCUCGUAGGCGGUCUGUCACGUCGGCUGUGAAAUCCCGAGGCUCAACCUCGGGUCUGCAGUCGAUACGGGCAAACUAGAGUAUUGCAGGGGAGACUGGAAUUCCUGGUGUAGCGGUGAAAUGCGCAGAUAUCAGGAGGAACACCGGUGGCGAAGGCGGGUCUCUGGGCCGAUACUGACGCUGAGAAGCGAAAGCGUGGGGAGCGAACAGG
Molecule: ribosomal RNA, 253 nt
Filed under: uncultured bacterium
Lineage: Bacteria
Description: partial 16S ribosomal RNA
Rfam family: Bacterial small subunit ribosomal RNA
Source: RNAcentral